UACGUAGGGGGCAAGCGUUGUCCGGAAUCAUUGGGCGUAAAGCGCGUGUAGGCGGCCCGGUAAGUCCGCUGUGAAAGUCGGGGGGCUCAACCCUCGAAUGCCGGUGGAUACUGUCGGGCUAGAGUACGGAAGAGGCGAGUGGAAUUCCUGGUGUAGCGGUGAAAUGCGCAGAUAUCAGGAGGAACACCGAUGGCGAAGGCAGCUCGCUGGGACGAUACUGACGCUGAGGCGCGAAAGCGUGGGGAGCAAACAGG
Molecule: ribosomal RNA, 254 nt
Filed under: uncultured bacterium
Lineage: Bacteria
Description: partial 16S ribosomal RNA
Rfam family: Bacterial small subunit ribosomal RNA
Source: RNAcentral